UCUUAGUGGCGGACGGUGAGUAACGCGUGGGUAACCUGCCUUAUACAGGGGGAUAACACUUAGAAAUAGGUGCUAAUACCGCAUAAGCGCACGGGGCUGCAUGGCCCAGUGUGAAAAACUCCGGUGGUAUAAGAUGGACCCGCGUCUGAUUAGCUUGUUGGCGGGGUAACGGCCCACCAAGGCGACGAUCAGUAGCCGGCCUGAGAGGGUGGACGGCCACAUUGGGACUGAGACACGGCCCAAACUCCUACGGGAGGCAGCAG
RNAcentral lists this ribosomal RNA (263 nucleotides) under uncultured bacterium. Its description in RNAcentral is "partial 16S ribosomal RNA". It matches the Rfam family "Bacterial small subunit ribosomal RNA", at positions 90 to 354 of the family's 1533-position model. The record is from RNAcentral.